GGAAUCUUGCGCAAUGGGCGAAAGCCUGACGCAGCAACGCCGCGUGCGGGAAGAAGGCUUUAGGGUUGUAAACCGCUUUCAGCAGGGAAGAAAAUGACGGUACCUGCAGAAGAAGGUGCGGCCAACUACGUGCCAGCAGCCGCGGUGACACGUAGGCACCAAGCGUUGUCCGGAUUUAUUGGGCGUAAAGAGCUCGUAGGCGGUUCAGUAAGUCGGGUGUGAAAACUCUGGGCUUAACCCAGAGCCGCCACCCGAUACUGCUGUGACUUGAGUCCGGUAGGGGAGCGGGGAAUUCCUGGUGUAGCGGUGAAAUGCGCAGAUAUCAGGAGGAACACCGGUGGCGAAGGCGCCGCUCUGGGCCGAGACUGACGCUGAGGAGCGAAAGCAUGGGUAGCAAACAGGAUUAGAUACCCUGGUAGUCCAUGCCGUAAACGUUGGGCACUAGGUGUGGGCAUCAACCAACGAUGUCCGCGCCGUCGCUAACGCAUUAAGUGCCCCGCCUGGGGAGUACGGUCGCAAGACUAAAACUCAAAGGAAUUGACGG
RNAcentral lists this ribosomal RNA (544 nucleotides) under uncultured bacterium. Its description in RNAcentral is "bacterial SSU rRNA". It matches the Rfam family "Bacterial small subunit ribosomal RNA", at positions 358 to 916 of the family's 1533-position model. The record is from RNAcentral.